Molecule: unclassified non-coding RNA, 681 nt
Filed under: Hevea brasiliensis (rubber tree)
Lineage: Eukaryota; Viridiplantae; Streptophyta; Magnoliopsida; Malpighiales; Euphorbiaceae
Source: RNAcentral
UACAAAGUGUAAGGGUCAUUUGGGUAAAUUUUAAUACCAUGAGGUUGUGUAUUUUCACCAAGACCAUAUAAUGAAGCAUCUUUAGGCAAUUUUGUUGAUAUUUCAAGAUAUUGAUCUUUAAAUACCAAAUUACUAUAUGGAUCAGAAUCUUCACUACUUGAAUUGAAAAUGGUUUGUCCAUUUGAUUUUCUUUUAACAGAAAAACUAAAAGGAUCACUUGUGUAACUGAACAUUAACUCAUUUCCUGAGUAUUUUUGAUUGGACAAAAGUGGAAGUUGGCCUUUUCUUGAUUUGCCAAUUGUUUGUUUAAGUGAUGGAGGUGAUUCUCUUGGUAAUAAGUUAUAAGGAACUUCCCAUCUUUGCUUAUCUGCAUCUGUUAUAUGAAUCCUCAAACGAUUAUCUGUCUCAUGCUUGACAUAGAGCUGCAAGUUAGGAAUAUCAGGGCCAUAAAUUUUGUUUUUCUUCUUAACUUUGAGGUAACCUAUGAGUCCACCAUCUGGUGACUCUUCAAUGGCUAUCAAACUAUAGCCAUUGCCAAUCUUAGUUGGAGCUGUGUGAACUAAUUUCACACAACCUAUUAUGCAUAUUGUUAAGACUAGCAAAAAAGGGAAAGAAAAGGAAAAUUUCAUGGUGUUUUAGCUAUUUUAAUAGCUAUGGAGAAAAGAAUGAAGAAGAAUGUAA